GACGAACGCUGGCGGCGUGCCUAAUACAUGCAAGUCGAACGCAGUGGGGACGGGUGAGUAACACGUGGGUAACCUCCCAUCAGAGGGGAUAACACUUGGAAACUGGUGCUAAACCGAUACUGAUGGAUGAACCCGCGGGGCAUUAGCUAGUUGGUGAGGAAACGGCUUACCAAGGCCAAGAUGCAUAGCCGACCUGAGAGGGUGAUCGGCCACACUGGGACUGAGACACGGCCCAGACUCCGACGGUAGGCAGCAGUAGGGAAUCUUCGGCAAGGGACGAAAGUCUGACCGAGCAACGCCGCGUGAAUGAAGAAGGUUUUCGGAUCGUAAAACUCUUUUGUUAGAGAAGCGGUAUCUAACCAGAAAGCCACGGCUAACUACGUGCCAGCAGCCGCGGUAAUAC
This 403-nucleotide ribosomal RNA is filed under the name uncultured bacterium. Its description in RNAcentral is "partial 16S ribosomal RNA". It matches the Rfam family "Bacterial small subunit ribosomal RNA", at positions 28 to 526 of the family's 1533-position model. The record is from RNAcentral.